AGAGUUUGAUCCUGGCUCAGAUUGAACGCUGGCGGCAGGCUUAACACAUGCAAGUCGAGCGGUAACAGAGAUAGCUUGCUAUCUGCUGACGAGCGGCGGACGGGUGAGUAAUGCUUGGGAAUAUGCCUUUGAGUGGGGGACAACAGUUGGAAACGACUGCUAAUACCGCAUAACGUCUACGGACCAAAGGGGGGGAUCUUCGGACCUCUCGCUCAUUGAUUAGCCCAAGUGAGAUUAGCUAGUUGGUAAGGUAAUGGCUUACCAAGGCGACGAUCUCUAGCUGGUUUGAGAGGAUGAUCAGCCACACUGGGACUGAGACACGGCCCAGACUCCUACGGGAGGCAGCAGUGGGGAAUAUUGCACAAUGGGCGAAAGCCUGAUGCAGCCAUGCCGCGUGUGUGAAGAAGGCCUUCGGGUUGUAAAGCACUUUCAGUUGUGAGGAAAGGGGUGUAGUUAAUAGCUGCAUCCUGUGACGUUAACAACAGAAGAAGCACCGCUAACUU
RNAcentral lists this ribosomal RNA (503 nucleotides) under uncultured bacterium. RNAcentral describes it as "bacterial SSU rRNA". It matches the Rfam family "Bacterial small subunit ribosomal RNA", at positions 8 to 503 of the family's 1533-position model. The record is from RNAcentral.